AACAUCCGAUCACAAUUAGAACUCAAGCCCAAAGAGAACGCAAGUUUCCGAAUUGAUGUUUGGACAGAAUAUGAGAGAUUAACAACAUGACAUAAAUGGAAUACAAAAGAAAAAUGUUUCACAGAAAUAGAUUACAAAAGCAGCAUAUUUCAUCUUGAACUUCUAUCCAUUUAUUUCAAGAAGUACAUAGGUCAAAUAUAAGUCUUUCCUCCGCUUAUCCUUUCCAAUAGUCCACUUGUCUACAUUAAAUUCUGUUCAUGGAUCAACGAAAAUGCACAAAAGCUCUAUUAGCCUCUGCCAUCUUAUGAGUGGUUUCCCUCUUUUUUAUGGCCUCACCGGUCCCUUUGGCAGCAUCCAUAACUUCAGAACUCAAUUUGAGAACCAUACUUCGUCCUUGACGUUUUCGGGAUGCCUCCAACAACCAACGGAUGGCAAGUGCUUUUCCUUGGAAUGUUCCUACUUCAAUAGGAACUUGUUGGGUAGAUCCACCAACACGUCUUGCUUUUACCGCUACAUCAGGAGUUACUCCAUUCACUGCCUCGCGUAAAACAGCUAAUGGAUUUGAUUGUGUCUUUUGCUGAAUAUUUUUCAGUGCUUGAUAGAUGAUAUGAUAAGCCAGUGACUUUUUCCCCUUUUUCAAGAUUCGGUUGACAAACAUGUUAACUAAUCGGUUCCGAUAAACUGGAUCAGAAGUGGCAGGUUUUUUUGCCGUUGUACCUUGACAUGAGAUGAAGAUAAAAGGGAAUCAGUCUCCCUUCAUAGAGUUAAUGAAUAAAUUCACUCUCAACAUGCAUGAUAAAUAAUAACAAUAAAUACUUUCACACUCUAAUCAAUACUCCAAAAUUUGAUGGCCCAGUUGAUAAGCAAAACAAAACGAUAAUUUCACAGCCACAGGAAAGUAAUUUGGGCACCCAAAAAAGCAAUAUUCUUUGCAUACAUCGCAAGUUUGCUAUAUUUUGAGUCUCUUCUCACCAAAACAAAGAACUUAUUAAACCAUUCCCCAGUUCAGUCCAGCUUGGGAGUUGUAACAAGAAGAAUAUGCUAAUUCUGAAAAUGGGACUGGCAUUUGAAAUAACAUGUUCUGAUUCGCUCCCCACUUCCGUAGGAACCUCACUCUAACUUUCUUCCACAUUUCUCCUACCCUGUUUCUUUAUUUGCCCCCCCCCCUUUUUUUCUUUUUUUCUGUUUCCAAUUUCUUCCAGGGAUUUCAUUCAUUUACACUGUCUCCAACCCGAAAACAAAAUCUCGGCUUCUUUUCUGAUUGAACCUAUAUUGGCUAUCAAGAGCAACCUCUACUAUCUGAUAUAUCGGUUGCAUUGAGUAGAUGAGCUAAUCUUUGAUUUUUUUUAGCACACAGCAAAUCCUAAUUUUUUAUUAUUCAUUAAAAGAAAAAACAAGAUGGAUUAUCUCUUCUCCUAAACUCCAAUCAAGUCACCGUCAAAAUCAGCAAAAAAAACUCAGUAUUAACAAAAAUAAUAAAGAUGAAACAACUCAAACACGAAUCAAAAUUAAAAGAGUACAGAGUUUAAGGGAGUUAUUUAUUAAUUUUGUUUUACCUCGUUUUCCGCGAGCGCAGAGAACCUUGAGAGGGAGAGGCGCAUGUUGAACAGUGAGAUUCGGUGCUCUUUUAGCGGUGUUCAAGUUGAUUGGAAAUGAGAGCCUAUUAGGGUUCAGCUGCUGGCAUUGGCGAAGAACGGAAGCGCG
This 1704-nucleotide long non-coding RNA is filed under the name Populus tremula. RNAcentral describes it as "long non-coding RNA (PTRE_LNC002217)". Lineage: Eukaryota; Viridiplantae; Streptophyta; Magnoliopsida; Malpighiales; Salicaceae. The record is from RNAcentral.